AAGCAUUGUGUUUCCUCUCAUUCA
This 24-nucleotide small nuclear RNA is filed under the name Arabidopsis thaliana (thale cress). Its description in RNAcentral is "snRNA_03010". Lineage: Eukaryota; Viridiplantae; Streptophyta; Magnoliopsida; Brassicales; Brassicaceae. The record is from RNAcentral.